GAAACAUAAGAUGAAGAAGUAUAAAGUUGAAGAGUGGUCUUACAUGAAGAUAUGAAUCACUUGGAUGGCCAAGGCGACUUGCCUGUACUGUAAUUUGAAGUUUUGUGCUCUCAAGUUGUUUGUUUCUCCAAUUCUUCAUUUGGAACACUGGCAAGUUGUCUUGCCAGCUGAAUGCUUUUUAUCUGAUGUUAGGCCUACUCUUCAUAUCAAUUUCAAAACAAGCUUCAGAAAAACAUCGAUUUACUAAACUGAGCCUUGUGUCUAUCUUGGUGAAAAACAAGUGGAGGAUGACAUAGUUCCUGCAUUAGUCCAUGACAGUAAAAAUGCAGGAGAGGAUGAAUGCAUUCUUGUUACCAAACUAGGCAAUAAACCUCCAGAGAAGAGGUAGAGAGCUCCAUCUGCUUACAAUCACUUCAUCAAAGAGGAAAUAAAGCGGAUAAAAUCAAGGAAACCAAACAUUACUCAUAAAGAAGCAUUCAGCAUGGCUACUAAAAAUGUCCUUCUACACUGAAAAAGAGAGGUCAAACAGCAAUGAAAGAAGUUCAUGCACGGUCUGAGGAAAACCAAAAGCCAAUAUUUUAGAAUGAAUUAAAUAAGCCAAUAGGAUUAGAUUAUAAGACUUUGAGUGAGCUCAGCAGUUUCUUAGGAACAUUGGCUCGAAAUUCAACACUUGCACCCCUUAGAGUCACUAAUUGGCGCAAAAAUGCCUACAAAAGAGUCAUUAUGCGAAUAUGUUCAGAAAAAAAUGCAUAGUCCCUCAAAAAGGUAAAAAGUGGGUUCUUGCUACUAUCGGAGAUGAUUGGAGAGUAUAUAAGUGUAGGGUGAAAAAAGAACAUUACUAUAAGUACAAGACUAACAAGCUUAGAAUAUUGAAUCAGCCCACAACAUAUUGGAGAAAAUAAAUUAAAGGACUUUUGAACUAUUAGAAUUCAACAAAUGCAAAGAGAAUCACCGAAAUAAAUGCAAAUAAUCGAAAGAGACAAAUUAAUAUGCAUACGACGGGCAAAAAGAGGUUUGCUAGGAUAAGGAAACAAAUGGUUAGUGUGCGUAUGUUUUUUUUUCUGUAUUUUAAAUUUGAUAUUCUAGGAAUGUUUUG
This is a long non-coding RNA of Dioscorea cayenensis subsp. rotundata (Guinea yam), 1096 nucleotides long. RefSeq lists it as uncharacterized. Lineage: Eukaryota; Viridiplantae; Streptophyta; Magnoliopsida; Dioscoreales; Dioscoreaceae. The transcript is spliced from 7 exons. The record is from RefSeq and is a predicted model, not a curated record.